UUUAAUUCUGAAGGGAUGGUGUUUUACCCAAUCCUACAGGUAAGGAAACAGGCUGAGAGGUAAGUGACUUCCCCAUGUCACAGAGCCAGGAUUUGAAUCUGGGCUAAGUCCACAGCUUGGCCUCCUCACCACAGCCUCUUCCCUGCACAGCCUCAGCUGAAGGUCUUUGUGGUCGGUGGAGCAGCCGAUGGCUGACCACAGUGGAGGAAGGUCUCUGCUUGGGGCAUGGAGCUGUGGGACUCUGAGAGCUACGUUUGCAGGCCUUGAUUCACCUUGGGAGGCGUAAUGAUGGAAAUGCAGGGUUCCUAGCCAUUGGGAGAGGGUGUGCUCCCCUUGAUGAUGACACAGACCAUGCCCAGUGUGUACUAUUUGGUGAAAAAAAAGGAUGGCCUGGAACAGUCCGCAAGGACCAGACAGCCACCUGGGCCUUAAACCUCAGAACUGCCUGCAGCUCAGCGUCACUCCCAGUGUGCUGAGGCAUCUAGCAGACAGUCUGGCUACUCAGGAAGGAUUUUGAGCCUCAACUGCUGAUGAUUCCUUAAGCUUUGGAGCCAGCUCGUUGUCCCAGAGCUCCCGUAAGUACAAGGGCAAAUCAGCUUGGCCCCCACCAUUCAGAGGGAGCUGUAAGCUGCUUCUCUGCAAAGAAGGCACCAAAGGGAUGAGGAAGAGGAGGAGGAGGGUUUCCAGUUGCCUCCUCAAGAGUGAGCACUCCAUGGGAAUGAAAACUGCUGCCUGCACAGAAGCCUUGCCACCCAGCUCUUCAGUUUAUGGUAAAUCAGAAACAAAGCAAAUUUACAAAUCAAAGGCCAGGAUGAAGCAUGGGUCUAAGUGAAGGACAAGAUGGCUGGCCUUGGAAUGUAUUUUAACUCUGGAAAAUCCUCUUUGGGACAUUCCUUACUUGCCAUGACUUGUAUCAGAGCUGUUGUGGACAUGUGCCUGCACACACUGGGUCUGCAGUGUCAGAGGAGCAGUGCCACUGGGUCAUCUGUCAGUGUUCUGAGCAACUGGACUAGGAGCUCUGGUGGAGGUGGGAGCAGAGAAGGAAGGUGGGUAUUUAAAUUUACC
RNAcentral lists this long non-coding RNA (1065 nucleotides) under Macaca nemestrina (pig-tailed macaque). RNAcentral's name for it is "lncRNA (ENSMNEG00000045625.1)". Lineage: Eukaryota; Metazoa; Chordata; Mammalia; Primates; Cercopithecidae. The record is from RNAcentral.